This 1966-nucleotide unclassified non-coding RNA is filed under the name uncultured fungus. Its description in RNAcentral is "sequence contains 18S rRNA gene, ITS1, 5.8S rRNA gene, ITS2, 28S rRNA gene". The stretch from base 776 to 1966 matches the Rfam family "Eukaryotic large subunit ribosomal RNA", at positions 1 to 961 of the family's 3401-position model. Lineage: Eukaryota; Fungi. The record is from RNAcentral.
GGAGGGAUCACUAUAGAAAAAAACUUUACCACCAGGAGGGGGGGGGAACAGAACAGGGGGAAGGAAAUGCUUUUUCUGUUCCUGUUCUUCUUCUUUUCCUGGACAAACAAUAACACACACGACUAGGAAAAGGAGGGGAGGGGGGGAGAUGUGAUUUGGUUCCCAACCCUCUCAUACACACAAGAAGAAGUUAUUGUCUGAUAAGUAGCUUACUGAUUUGGUCAGUUACUACACAUCAAUACAACUUUCAACAACGGAUCUCUUGGCUCUCACAUCGAUGAAGAACAUAGCAAAGUGUGAAAAUUAGUGUGAAUUGCAGAAUUCAGUGAAUCAUCGAGUUUUUGAACGCAUCUUGCACUCCUUGGUAUUCCAGGGAGUAUGCCUGGUUGAGUAAUGUCAACCAAUCUAAUCAAUCUCUUGAUUGUAGAGUACAAGAGAGAUUGGAGUUGAGUGCUUUACCUUGGCUUGAUUGACAAGGUUCACUUGAAAUGCAGGGGAGAACAAGAACAAGAACAAGAAUCCCUGAGAUGAGAUGAGAUGAGAAAUCUCUCAAGGAUAGUGUGGCAUGGAGACUUGUUCCAUCUAACAAAUGACUUGAUGAAAAGAGAUAAUUUGAUUUGUCUCAUCUCAAAAAGUCUUGCUUGGAAAAGUCUCGACGCGCGCUUUGUGAGUGGGGCUCUCUGCUCUGCUAGAAUCAGCAACAUAACAUGCUCUCUUGCUCCUCUUGUUUCCAUAACUAGGGACAGACUUGGCUCUGAAUCUGAAUCUGAAUCUUCAUUCUCAACUCAGGCAAGACUACCCGCUGAAUUUAAGCAUAUAAAUAAGCGGAGGAAAAGAAACUAACAAGGAUUCCCUUAGUAACGGCGAGUGAACCGGGAAAAGCUCAAAUUUGGAAUCUACCAAGAGUAACCUUCUUGGUCGAAUUGUAGUUUCAAGAAAGAAAGGCUGAGAGGAGCCGAAUUAGAUGCAAGUUCCUUGGAACAGGACAUCAGAGAGGGUGAUAAUCCCGUCCACCAUCUAAUCGUUUGCACCUCAUCAAAGGCCUUCUUUUCAAAGAGUCGAGUUGUUUGGGAUUGCAGCUCAAAAUGGGUGGUAAAUUUCAUCUAAAGCUAAAUAUGGGUGAGAGACCGAUAGCGAACAAGUACCGUGAGGGAAAGAUGAAAAGCACUCUGAAGAGAGAGUGAAAAGUACGUGAAAUUGUUGAAAGGGAAACGCUUGAAGCCAGUCAAGGUUUUCUAGAGGUCAGAAGGGUUGGAUUGGGCGGGUCAAGUAUUAUGAUUAGUCUCUUUGGGCUAACUUUGUAUUUGAUUCUUUGCUGCUCAGUUCACUUUUUGUAUGUCUCUAGUUAACAUGUCAACAUCAGUUUGGCUUGUUUGGGAAAAAGAUAACAGGAUUUGGUUGGAUUUUGAUAGGGUUUCGGCCCGUCAAGGUUCGAGCCUGCUUAUCAUGAUACCAAAUGCUAGACUGAGGGUGGCAGUACAGAGCAUUGUCUUGGACUAGACAGUCUUGUGGUGAGACUAGGGAUAAACAGCCUAGCUGAUUAUUCCAGUCCUUCACCAAAGUCCUGUCCUAUCUUUGCAGGCUCUCUGACUUUGGAUGUUGACGAAAUGGCUUUAAACGACCCGUCUUGAAACACGGACCAAGGAGUCUAACAUGGAUGCGAGUAUUUGGGUGAUCAAACCCAUCUGCGUAAUGAAAGUGAUAUUCUCCCAAGGGUAGGAUACCGUUGGAGAGGGGAAACCCCUCCGCGGUUGCACUACCAACCGAUCUUGACUAGCUUCGGCUUGAUAGAUUCGAGUAAGAGCAUGUAUGUUGGGACCCGAAAGAUGGUGAACUAUGCCUGAAUAGGGUGAAGUCAGACGAAAGUCUGAUGGAAGCUCGUAGCGAUUCUGACGUGCAAAUCGAUCGUCAAAAUUUGGGUAUAGGGGCGAAAGACUAAUCGAACCAUCUAGUAGCUGGUUCCUGC